GGUAUUGUCCACAUUGGCCCUGGAAGCCUUCCUUCCCAGGGCAGCAUGCACCUUCAGAUGAUUCUAGAUUGUUCCUGAGAGCCAAAGAUCCUGCUGCCUCCGGAUCCAGCUGGAGCUACCAGAAUCCCACACCAGGAGCUCAGGUGAGAAACCUGCUGUGUGCAACCUGUUGGACACAGGCAUCCCACCUCACCAGACCCAAAGAAGCUGGUAACCAAUGCACGAUGAACUCGCUUCACAGAAUGGUUUCCAUGUUUCCCACUGACCAAAGUCACCUGGAAGCCAGAGGGCAGGAAGACCACUGAGGUGUCUUUACAAGCAUGCACACCCUGGGACACAGAGCCAGAGAGUUUGUAUCCAGAGGGUUUGUAUCCAGAGCUAUAAGAUGCUCAGAGAAAUUAGUAAUGGUAGCAACAACAAAAACAAAACCCACGAAGAACUGAAUUUUAAAAUUUCCACAGGAUCUCAACAGACUUUUUUUUCAAAUAAAGAAAUGCAG
Long non-coding RNA from Mastomys coucha (southern multimammate mouse), 499 nucleotides. RefSeq lists it as uncharacterized. The transcript has 3 exons. Lineage: Eukaryota; Metazoa; Chordata; Mammalia; Rodentia; Muridae. The record is from RefSeq and is a predicted model, not a curated record.